GUGCUGAUGAAGAGUCCCAAACUAGGACGAAACAGCUGUUCAGUAC
Non-coding RNA from Trichobilharzia regenti, 46 nucleotides. NCBI's taxonomy places the organism in Eukaryota, Metazoa, Platyhelminthes, Trematoda, Strigeidida, Schistosomatidae. The record is from Rfam.